This is a non-coding RNA of Caenorhabditis elegans, 115 nucleotides long. NCBI's taxonomy places the organism in Eukaryota, Metazoa, Nematoda, Chromadorea, Rhabditida, Rhabditidae. The record is from Ensembl.
AAGAUGAGAAAAGAGGAAGGAAAAAAAAAAUGAAACCACGUCACACUGUGGAACAAACAUAUGAUAAAGCAAAAGAGGAAAGUUCAGGUUUACAAAAGUAAAUGUCAACUUUGAA